UGUUGUUAUUACCUUCAGCAACACAUCCUAACUUCAUAUUUUUAUUUAAUAACCACUUAGGUAGUUGCUAGAUUCUGGAAAUAAAAUAUGAGCCCCAAGUAGUCCCCAACUCCUCCCUUACCCCCAAUUCUGAAUGUAGCUGGCAAGAUUUUGAAUAUAAUGCACAUAAUAAGUGACAGUAAUUAUAAAAUGGUG
This 195-nucleotide ribozyme is filed under the name Tupaia belangeri chinensis (Chinese tree shrew). Its description in RNAcentral is "Tupaia chinensis (Chinese tree shrew) Beta-globin co-transcriptional cleavage ribozyme". It matches the Rfam family "Beta-globin co-transcriptional cleavage ribozyme". Rfam says of the family: Transcription termination of RNA polymerase II transcripts is proposed to occur by a two stage process. The record is from Rfam by way of RNAcentral. Lineage: Eukaryota; Metazoa; Chordata; Mammalia; Scandentia; Tupaiidae.